GGCGGACGGGUGAGUAACGCGUGGGUAACCUGCCUCAUACAGGGGGAUAACAGUUGGAAACGGCUGCUAAUACCGCAUAAGCGCACAGUACCGCAUGGUACCGUGUGAAAAACUCCGGUGGUAUGAGAUGGACCCGCGUCUGAUUAGCUAGUUGGUGGGGUAACGGCCUACCAAGGCGACGAUCAGUAGCCGACCUGAGAGGGUGACCGGCCACAUUGGGACUGAGACACGGCCCAAACUCCUACGGGAGGCAGCAGUGGGGAAUAUUGCACAAUGGGGGAAACCCUGAUGCAGCGACGCCGCGUGAGCGAUGAAGUAUUUCGGUAUGUAAAGCUCUAUCAGCAGGGAAGAAAAUGACGGUACCUGACUAAGAAGCCCCGGCUAACUACGUGCCAGCAGCCGCGGUAAUACGUAGGGGGCAAGCGUUAUCCGGAUUUACUGGGUGUAAAGGGAGCGUAGACGGCAUGGCAAGCCAGAUGUG
Molecule: ribosomal RNA, 481 nt
Filed under: Mediterraneibacter gnavus
Lineage: Bacteria; Bacillati; Bacillota; Clostridia; Lachnospirales; Lachnospiraceae
Description: bacterial SSU rRNA
Rfam family: Bacterial small subunit ribosomal RNA
Source: RNAcentral